GCAGUCGAACGAGAAAGUUUUCUUCGGAAAGCGAGUAGAGUGGCGCACGGGUGAGUAACGCGUAGGUAAUCUACCCUUAUACCUGGGAUAACAUUGGGAAACCGGUGCUAAUACCGGAUACACUUCUUUGCUGCGGGGCGAAGGAGGAAAGGUGGCCUCUUCAUGAAAGCUACCGUAUAGGGAUGAGCCUGCGUACCAUUAGCUAGUAGGUAGGGUAACGGCCUACCUAGGCCACGAUGGUUAGCGGGUCUGAGAGGAUGAUCCGCCACACUGGAACUGGAACACGGACCAGACUCCUACGGGAGGCAGCAGUGAGGAAUAUUGCGCAAUGGGGGAAACCCUGACGCAGCGACGCCGCGUGAGUGAGAAAGGUCUUCGGAUCGUAAAGCUCUGUCAGAAGGGAAGAAGUGUUAGGUGGUUAAUACCCAUUUAAUUUGACGGUACCUUCAGAGGAAGCACCGGCUAACUCCGUGCCAGCAGCCGCGGUAAUACGGAGGGUGCUAGCGUUGUUCGGAAUUACUGGGCGUAAAGGGCGCGUAGGCGGCUGGAUAAGUCAGAUGUGAAAGCCCACGGCUUAACUGUGGAAGUGCAUUUGAAACUGUCCGGCUUGAGUAUCGGAGGGGAGUGUGGAAUUCCCGGUGUAGAGGUGAAAUUCGUAGAGAUCGGGAGGAACACCGGUGGCGAAGGCGACACUCUGGACGAAUACUGACGCUGAGGCGCGAAAGCGUGGGGAGCAAACAGGAUUAGAUACCCUGGUAGUCCACGCCGUAAACGAUGUGAACUAGAGGUAGGGGGUGUUGAUCCCUUCUGUCUCGCAGCCUAACGCAUUA
RNAcentral lists this ribosomal RNA (830 nucleotides) under uncultured delta proteobacterium. RNAcentral describes it as "bacterial SSU rRNA". It matches the Rfam family "Bacterial small subunit ribosomal RNA", at positions 57 to 862 of the family's 1533-position model. Lineage: Bacteria; Deltaproteobacteria. The record is from RNAcentral.